GGGAGAACUGAAGCUGAUCAGCUCAUUGACUGGAGUCAAAACAAGUUAUUCCGGUGGGCAAUGGAGAGGAGAGAAAAUUUUGAAAAAAUCCAAAUAAGAGGAAAAGUAAUUGUUACUGAUAGAAUUGAAAAGAAAAUAAAAUGACAAACAAGAGCACUGAGCAAUGGAUAAUCAAGAAACGAGAAGAGAUGUGCAUUUGAAUCUUUGAAUUUUUGCAACAAAGUUGGCCAGGAAGCGCUUGGAACGAAGAGCCUAAGAUUCCAACUUAAUGGGUAAUAGCUUCAUUUGCGGGAGAAAGAAAGAUACCAAAGAUAAUGGAGUAAGAAGCACGACAAUGGGAAGAUCACAAAGAAAAAUGAUUGCAGAAGAAGAGUUUUUGCAUAGGCAAGUUUUAUCCGUGACUCUUUAUCAACACCAGUUGUCUUAAAUAUUUGAUGGAUUGAUGUCCACGAGAACUGGCUCUACCAACCCUAGAAGUCCCUCUGGUCCAUUAGCUAAUAAUGUGAAAUGAGUGGGUUUUUUUAUUAAAUUACUUAUCUUUGCUUCCUGACCGUGUUUUCAUGUGUAAUCACAAUGUUAAUCAUUGUUUUAGUUGAUUGGAUCUAUGAUGGAAAGUUGGGUUUUGGUGAUUGAUUGUGAAACAGUAGCAACAAUUAGAAAAAGUUGUUAAUCAUGUUGGAAAACAGCAUUAGUCAAUAGUUAAGCUGGUAUAAAUAAGGAACAAGAAGUUAAAAGUGUUUCUUUUGCUUUAAAUUGGAAAACUUAAAAGGAGAACCUGGAAAAAUAUUCAUUGAUUCAUUGUGUUUUAGCAAUUUGUAACUUUAUUUCUUUGAGUUAGUUUUCAAGUCUUUGAUGUAAUUUAUCUUUGACUUUUAUAACAUUUAUUUUCAUUUUAAGUGGAAUUCAUCUAAUUGCACAAUGUUCUUAUUAUUUAUGAUAUCGAUACAAGAGGUUGAGAAGCCGGUGGAAAAGCUCUAUGGAUUACUUAAGAAACUCAAGGUAUGUAAGAUGAUCACAUCAUUUUUAAGUGAGAUUAUUUUAUCAGCGAAAGUUGGAUUGAGAUAUUUUUGGUUUAUGUUUUUGUAUAUUAAAAUCUCUGGUUUACAUGUGCUCGUGCUAUCAUAUUAAUGUCUGUUUGAAAUGUAAUGUUAUCUCAUUUAUUGAUUUUCAGUUGUUCAUGCUAGAAAUAUGCUCUUUCCCCUAUAUUCCUUUUAGUUAAAACUAAGAGUGACUACAAACAGUCAACUCUUUUAGCUGUUGGAUUGAAAUCCUGUAGGUAUUGGAAAAGGAAAAAUGGAGGGAAAAGGGGAGGUUGAAAAAUCGCUUACAAGGAGGUUGGUAAAUCAUCUGUGAUACUUAAGGCAGCAAAAGAUUGGAUUAGGUAAAAAAUUAUUGAUAUGUCAAAUAUGAAAUAUAAUUUUUUAGUUUUUUAUGUCAAAGGUUGAUAUGUCAAAGACUGAUAAUAGAUUUGGAUUACGUAAAUCCUUCAAAAGAUUCGAUCCAAAAGUAAAGAAUAGCUAAUUCUUUGUGCAAAAGGUAUAAAUUAAAUUGACUUUAUUUCUUCUAACAUGUUCUUCUAUGCAAUAUCAUUCUUCCAUGUACAAAUUGUUGCCUGAACACUUACUGAGAGAUGUAUUUACACAUUUCAAGAGAUAUGCACCUUUUUGUGUGAAAGAAUUGAGAUUGCUUUGUUUCUUUAUAUCAAAAUAGCUUUAUGUAUCUUAGCUUCACCUCUUUUUAUGUUUGCCUUGGUGAUCUCACUCUCCAUGUUAAGACCACUUGAAAUUUUAGAAAGUGAAGCAUCAGAAAUAAUUUUUAUGGAAUUAGUAACGCAAUCGUACUUUGAUAUAGUCCAGAAGAACAUUCAAGACUUAGUGCCAAAGGCAAUAAUGCACUUUUUAUGGUAAUUCUGUUUCGUUUUCCCCCUCUAGUUGGUCCAUUUUAAACUUUUAUUCUAUUGAGUUUAAAUUAAAAUACGUUUCUUCCUUUUUAUCAAUGUGCUGGUAUGUCUCUUGCUUUUGGUUGAUGGUAAUUAUAUCGUGUUUUAGUUUUCAGUUUGCAAAAUACGUAUAAGUUAAAUGAUAAAAGUUCUUCUGGCACUCAGUAGUUGUCCCUGACUAUUUUCCAUGAUGGCAUGUAUGUUUCUGCUUUCGCAUGCAGAGAACAAUUAAUUGAUGUGUAAACUUGCAGUCUAAUUAAUUUUAUUUAUAUGCAAACUCCAAUUAUAUGUGAAAAUUUAAGGUUUGAGCGAUGAUAGUUUACCUAUUGGAUUCAUUUUAGAUUUCACAAUUGAUACAAGUUUGUGCAAUGUGUAAUGAAUUUGAGGUUCAUAGCAUUGUCAUUCGAGAAAUUAGAGACUUACAUAUUUUAUUUUCAUUAUUAGAAGUUGUAUUCCAAGUUUUGAAAAUGUAUGUAUGUUCUAAUUUCAUUGCUAAUUGUCUUUAUUAUGAUUAUUGCGUUGUUUAGCUGCAUAUUCUUAUCUCAAUCACUUUGAUAAAGUUUAAAAAGUAUUUGGCAAUAAAUUUAUAAUUUAAAAACAGAAAAAAUAGAAAAAGGAAGGAAAAAAUUAUAUAAUAUAAACCCCGACGUAUACCUUGGGUUUCAUAUACUAGUAAUUAAUUUAAUUUUGUUCAUGUUUUAGUCAAUCGCGAAACUUUGUGAAACUUUAAAAAACGAGAAUCUGGUUUUUUCCAAAAUUUUUCAAGCUUUACAGAAAUUAUAUGAUUUUUAAGUUAAUUAAAAAAAAGAAAAGCAAAAAUCAAGGAAAAAGUCGAAGGUUAACCUAAAAGUUAAUUAAGUUAAACUUGAUGGAAUUUGAUCAAAUUUAGAUCAUUUUUAGGAUAACCGAAUCAAGGCAUUGGAUCAGUAAAGAUUUUAAAGUUAAUCUUUAGUUUUGAAUCAAAAUAACCCUGAUGUUUAAAAUUUUUGUUGGACCUAAAAGGAGGAAAAUUACAAAAC
Long non-coding RNA from Durio zibethinus, 2958 nucleotides. RefSeq lists it as uncharacterized. NCBI's taxonomy places the organism in Eukaryota, Viridiplantae, Streptophyta, Magnoliopsida, Malvales, Malvaceae. The record is from RefSeq and is a predicted model, not a curated record.